This 1277-nucleotide long non-coding RNA is filed under the name Anas platyrhynchos platyrhynchos (common mallard). RNAcentral describes it as "lncRNA (ENSAPLG00000023676.1)". The record is from RNAcentral. Lineage: Eukaryota; Metazoa; Chordata; Aves; Anseriformes; Anatidae.
AAAGAAUAGUAACAUAAAAAAAUAAAAUGGCCUGACAGAUCCAAAAGUUUCAUGGAGAAUCAACAUUGAAUUGAUCCUAAAAGGUCACAGUGAGGACAUCCCUGCCCUUGAAGGGACAGAAAGUAGUAAAAAAUGCAGUCUGACCUUGGUGGGCUGGGGCUGGGUCAAAAGCUGCCUGCAGCCUUGCAAGCCUUGCAUUGGGUACCGAGGAGCACAAGGUAAAUGUUGGAGUACCACCACUUCCAGUUAGGUUCAUGUGUUUUUUUUUUUUUUUUUUUUUUUUUUUUUUUUUUUAUCUGCUGUGUUUACAGAUCACUUUCCCUCUCUGUGUCAGGCUGACAGCAAGCAGACAACUGUGACACUGAUACGUUGUUUGAGUUGCACCCAUUCCUCAGGAUCUGUGAUUUACAAAGUUUUACCAAAGUCCUGAGAACAGCAUAAGCAGGAAAUACUACCCUGAAAGACUGUGAGAGACCAGAAGUGCCUGUGGAUCUACAGUUUUGGCAGACAGAAGAUAAAAAUCCUGAGCUGUGCCUGGAAGGAAGUGCCAUUUCACCAGAAGUGAAGAGUAACUCUGAGAGAGACCACACUGAAACCUCUCCUGCUUGUGCAGAAGCCAAAGAGCAGAAGGUUCCUACUCCUGGUCCCGAAAGACCACCCAGACAUCCUGUCUUAAUGAGGAAGCUUUUCCAUUGGUUUGAAUGAGCUUUCAAACAGUCUCUUCUUUUUUCUGGGUCCAACCAGUCUCUGGCAUGCUAAAUGCCAGUCUCACUUAGCUGAAAUGCCAGAAUUACUGUUACCAGGGACUUAAAUUAAAACUUUUAUGCCAUAGAAAAUCUCAAGGUGUUGUUAGGUCCCUGCAAAUGAACAAAUAGUUACCAGAAGCUGCAAGAAAACAAGACUUAAUGACAGGGGAGAAAACACCAGGGGAAUGAAUGGGUCUCUUUCUCCACCUCUCUUGUCUCAGGACACCCCAUACUGACCUACAAGGAGACUUUUUCCCCUCUAGUUUAUUGGAAUAACCACCAAAAAAGUAUUCCUAACACUCACCCUCAAAAGCCUGCUUUUGUUUAUUGCCUAGAAAGAGACCGUGUUAUUGGUUUUUAAUCUUUAUUGGAAUAAUUAUUUUUUGAAAGGGAAUCCACCGUUCAAGUACAGAAACAAAUUAAGGUCAGAGAGAAGCACCUAGCUUUGUGUAAGUGUUUAGUCUCUUCUUGUGAAGUGGCUGGUUCUGCAUGAAUUACCAUUAAUAAUAAAAUGUAUGUAAGAUAGCGACA